GGCAGCUCCAAUCUGUGGGUGCCUUCUGCGAAGUGCUUGUUCUCUGUGGCUUGUCAUUUCCAUGCCAGAUACAAGUCAAGCCGCUCGAGUACAUACAAGAAAAAUGGGACGUCUGCUUCAAUUCGGUAUGGCACUGGAGCAGUCUCUGGUUUCUUUAGUUAUGACAAUGUCAAAGUUGGAGACCUAGUCGUAAAGAAUCAGUUGUUCAUUGAGGCAACCAGAGAACCUAGUCUUACAUUUCUGGUCGCCAAGUUUGAUGGGUUGUUGGGACUUGGUUUUCAAGAGAUCGCAGU
RNAcentral lists this unclassified non-coding RNA (293 nucleotides) under Hevea brasiliensis (rubber tree). The record is from RNAcentral. Lineage: Eukaryota; Viridiplantae; Streptophyta; Magnoliopsida; Malpighiales; Euphorbiaceae.